Molecule: ribosomal RNA, 2892 nt
Filed under: Ralstonia pseudosolanacearum
Lineage: Bacteria; Pseudomonadati; Pseudomonadota; Betaproteobacteria; Burkholderiales; Burkholderiaceae
Description: 23S ribosomal RNA
Rfam family: Bacterial large subunit ribosomal RNA
Source: RNAcentral
GUUAUAGGGUCAAGCGAAUAAGUGCAUGUGGUGGAUGCCUUGGCGAUCACAGGCGAUGAAGGACGUAGUAGCUUGCGAAAAGCUGCGGGGAGCUGGCAAACGAGCUUUGAUCCGCAGAUGUCCGAAUGGGGAAACCCGGCCCGUAUGGGUCAUCCCUUGCUGAAUACAUAGGCAAGGGAGGCGAACGCAGUGAACUGAAACAUCUAAGUAGCUGCAGGAAAAGAAAUCAACCGAGAUUCCCAAAGUAGUGGCGAGCGAAAUGGGAACAGCCUUGUACUCUUUAGCAGUAUUGUUAGCGGAACGGAAUGGAAAGUCCGGCCAUAGUGGGUGAUAGCCCCGUACGCGAAAACAGUAUUGUGGAACUAGGUGUACGACAAGUAGGGCGGGACACGUGAAAUCCUGUCUGAAGAUGGGGGGACCAUCCUCCAAGGCUAAAUACUCGUGAUCGACCGAUAGUGAACCAGUACCGUGAGGGAAAGGCGAAAAGAACCCCGGGAGGGGAGUGAAAUAGAUCCUGAAACCGCAUGCAUACAAACAGUCGGAGCCUGGAAACGGGUGACGGCGUACCUUUUGUAUAAUGGGUCAGCGACUUACAUUCAGUGGCAAGCUUAACCGAUUAGGGAAGGCGUAGCGAAAGCGAGUCCGAAUAGGGCGUUCAGUCGCUGGGUGUAGACCCGAAACCAAGUGAUCUAUCCAUGGCCAGGUUGAAGGUGCGGUAACACGUACUGGAGGACCGAACCCACUAACGUUGAAAAGUUAGGGGAUGAGCUGUGGAUAGGGGUGAAAGGCUAAACAAACUUGGAAAUAGCUGGUUCUCUCCGAAAACUAUUUAGGUAGUGCCUCGUGUCUCACCUUCGGGGGUAGAGCACUGUCAUGGUUGGGGGGUCUAUUGCUGAUUACCCCGCCAUAGCAAACUCCGAAUACCGAAGAGUGCAAUCACGGGAGACAGACAUCGGGUGCUAACGUCCGGUGUCAAGAGGGAAACAACCCAGACCGCCAGCUAAGGUCCCUAAGAUUGGCUAAGUGGGAAACGAAGUGGGAAGGCUAAAACAGUCAGGAGGUUGGCUUAGAAGCAGCCACCCUUUAAAGAAAGCGUAAUAGCUCACUGAUCGAGUCGUCCUGCGCGGAAGAUGUAACGGGGCUAAGCCAGUCACCGAAGCUGCGGAUGCACGUAAGUGCAUGGUAGGAGAGCGUUCUGUAAGCCUGUGAAGGUGUCUUGUAAAGGAUGCUGGAGGUAUCAGAAGUGCGAAUGCUGACAUGAGUAGCGAUAAAGGGGGUGAAAGGCCCCCUCGCCGUAAGCCCAAGGUUUCCUACGCAACGUUCAUCGGCGUAGGGUGAGUCGGCCCCUAAGGCGAGGCAGAGAUGCGUAGCUGAUGGGAAGCAGGUUAAUAUUCCUGCACCGUCGUAUGAUGCGAUGGGGGGACGGAUCGCGGAAGGUUGUCCGGGUGUUGGAAGUCCCGGUCCCUACAUUGGAGAUGGCACUUAGGCAAAUCCGGGUGCGUGAUUCAAGGGUGUGGGGCGAGCGACGUUAGGUCGCGAAGCAAUUGGAAGUGGUUCCAAGAAAAGCCUCUAAGCUUCAGUCAUACGAGACCGUACCGCAAACCGACACAGGUGGGCGAGAUGAGUAUUCUAAGGCGCUUGAGAGAACUCGGGAGAAGGAACUCGGCAAAUUGGUACCGUAACUUCGGGAUAAGGUACGCCCUUGUAGUUUGACUGGCUCGCGCCAGAAGGAUGAAGGGGUUGCAAUAAAAUGGUGGCUGCGACUGUUUAAUAAAAACACAGCACUCUGCAAACACGAAAGUGGACGUAUAGGGUGUGACGCCUGCCCGGUGCCGGAAGAUUAAAUGAUGGGGUGCAAGCUCUUGAUUGAAGUCCCGGUAAACGGCGGCCGUAACUAUAACGGUCCUAAGGUAGCGAAAUUCCUUGUCGGGUAAGUUCCGACCUGCACGAAUGGCGUAACGAUGGCCACACUGUCUCCUCCCGAGACUCAGCGAAGUUGAAGUGUUUGUGAUGAUGCAAUCUCCCCGCGGCUAGACGGAAAGACCCCAUGAACCUUUACUGUAGCUUUGCAUUGGACUUUGAACCGAUCUGUGUAGGAUAGGUGGGAGGCUUUGAAACCGGGACGCUAGUUUCGGUGGAGCCGACCUUGAAAUACCACCCUGGUUUGUUUGAGGUUCUAACCUUGGCCCGUGAAUCCGGGUCGGGGACAGUGCAUGGUAGGCAGUUUGACUGGGGCGGUCUCCUCCCAAAGUGUAACGGAGGAGUUCGAAGGUACGCUUGGUACGGUCGGACAUCGUACCUAAAGUGCAAUGGCAAAAGCGUGCUUAACUGCGAGACCGACAAGUCGAGCAGGUGCGAAAGCAGGACAUAGUGAUCCGGUGGUUCUGUAUGGAAGGGCCAUCGCUCAACGGAUAAAAGGUACUCUGGGGAUAACAGGCUGAUACCGCCCAAGAGUUCAUAUCGACGGCGGUGUUUGGCACCUCGAUGUCGGCUCAUCUCAUCCUGGGGCUGUAGCCGGUCCCAAGGGUAUGGCUGUUCGCCAUUUAAAGAGGUACGUGAGCUGGGUUUAAAACGUCGUGAGACAGUUUGGUCCCUAUCUGCCGUGGGCGUUGGAAUCUUGACGGGGGCUGCUCCUAGUACGAGAGGACCGGAGUGGACGUACCGCUGGUGUACCUGUUGUCUCGCCAGAGGCAUCGCAGGGUAGCUAUGUACGGAAGAGAUAACCGCUGAAAGCAUCUAAGCGGGAAACUCGCCUGAAGAUGAGGAUUCCCUGGAGACUUGAUCUCCCUGAAGGGUCGUUCGAGAUCAGGACGUUGAUAGGCUGGGUGUGGAAGCGCAGUAAUGCGUUCAGCUAACCAGUACUAAUUGCCCGUGCGGCUUGAUCCUAUAACC